UACGGGGGGGGCAAGCGUUGUUCGGAAUUACUGGGCGUAAAGGGCUCGUAGGUGGCCAACUAAGUCAGACGUGAAAUCCCCAGGCUUAACCUGGGAACUGCGUCUGAUACUGGAUGGCUUGAAUUCGGGAGAGGGAUGCAGAAUUCCAGGUGUAGCGGUGAAAUGCGUAGAUAUCUGGAGGAACACCGGUGGCGAAGGCGGAUCUCUGGGCCAUUACUGACGCUGAGGAGCGAAAGCGUGGGGAGCGAACAGG
RNAcentral lists this ribosomal RNA (253 nucleotides) under uncultured bacterium. RNAcentral's name for it is "partial 16S ribosomal RNA". It matches the Rfam family "Bacterial small subunit ribosomal RNA", at positions 524 to 776 of the family's 1533-position model. The record is from RNAcentral.